Zea mays is the source of this 884-nucleotide long non-coding RNA. RefSeq lists it as uncharacterized. Lineage: Eukaryota; Viridiplantae; Streptophyta; Magnoliopsida; Poales; Poaceae. The transcript has 2 exons. The record is from RefSeq and is a predicted model, not a curated record.
GCGCGCUCCCUACGUCACUGACCCGUGGGACCUUCUCCCAUGCCUCACUGAUGUGUGGGACCUCUAGGUCAGGGUCAUCUUCCCCAUUGGCGCGUACACAGCAGAUCCGAGCCUCGUUUGAGCUCAGAGUUUGUUAAGAUUUCGCUAGAUUUAUCACCGCAACAACCCAAGCAUCUCUAUUUAUAUGCGUCCACCUAGGAUUCCUCGUUUUAUCUAACCCUAGCCACAACACCGAGAGAUUCGAACUGUAGUGGAGGCGAAGAGAGGGAAGCCGUGACCACCAUGGUCGAUUCGUGGACAAGCCUGCGUCGGAGCCUCAAUUGAUUACUAGGGAAACUUCCUUGGCGUAUGCAAAAGCGGAUAGUGUAGGUUGGCGGGUGCAGGUCUGACCGGAUGUGGGUGAAUUGAUCGCCGGAGAUAGGGCUCUGCCAUGGAUCCGCCAAGCCGCGUGGGCAGCCAUCCUCGCAAGCUUAAUAGACGUUCUCUUGUGCAGGAGAACGAAGUAGACAACUGCUGCUCCUAUUUUACUACGGAGAUUCAGACAGGUGAAGUAUACCAGCAGUGAGAAGUUUUUGAAUAUGUAUCUGAUGGCCUUCUCUCGAUCAAGUAAGAUGUUUUCAGUUUUGGGGUCCUCCUUGAGAUUAUAAGUGGAAAGAGGAGCUCAGGUUUUCAGCACAAUGGAGAGUUCUACGACCUUCUUGAAUAUGUAAGCAACCAAGGACUCGACAAUCUGUAGAAUUGGUAAAACUGAUAUGUUUUCCCUUAUAACAAGAUUGCAUUAUACUAACAGAUCACUUAGUAUUGACGGUGUAUCUGUAUGGUGUUCUACAUUAUUUCUUUCCAUGAAGUAUAGGGUGGUUUCCUGUACCUCCCUGUUUUAUUGA